AGUGAACGCUGGCGGUAGGCCUAACACAUGCAAGUCGAACGGCAGCACAGUAAGAGCUUGCUCUUACGGGUGGCGAGUGGCGGACGGGUGAGGAAUACAUCGGACUCUACUUUUUCGGGGGGGAUAACGUAGGGAAACUUACGCUAAUACCGCAUACGACCUACGGGUGAAAGCAGGGGAUCUUCGGACCUUGCGCGAUUGAAUGAGCCGAUGUCGGAUUAGCUAGUUGGCGGGGUAAAGGCCCACCAAGGCGACGAUCCGUAGCUGGUCUGAGAGGAUGAUCAGCCACACUGGAACUGAGACACGGUCCAGACUCCUACGGGAGGCAGCAGUGGGGAAUAUUGGACAAUGGGCGCAAGCCUGAUCCAGCCAUACCGCGUGGGUGAAGAAGGCCUUCGGGUUGUAAAGCCCUUUUGUUGGGAAAGAAAAGCAGCAGGUUAAUACCCCGCUGUUCUGACGGUACCCAAAGAAUAAGCACCGGCUAACUUCGUG
This 492-nucleotide ribosomal RNA is filed under the name uncultured bacterium. RNAcentral describes it as "partial 16S ribosomal RNA". It matches the Rfam family "Bacterial small subunit ribosomal RNA", at positions 29 to 507 of the family's 1533-position model. The record is from RNAcentral.